RNAcentral lists this non-coding RNA (48 nucleotides) under Thiobacillus sp. RNAcentral describes it as "Guanidine-II sequence". It matches the Rfam family "Guanidine-II riboswitch aptamer (mini-ykkC)". Rfam says of the family: Simpler in structure and has fewer highly conserved nucleotide positions than the ykkC-yxkD leader. Despite this each of its two stem-loop structures directly bind free guanidine. Therefore, mini-ykkC RNA motif represents a distinct class of guanidine-sensing RNAs. The record is from RNAcentral. RNAcentral also lists the same sequence under 1 other name. Lineage: Bacteria; Pseudomonadati; Pseudomonadota; Betaproteobacteria; Nitrosomonadales; Thiobacillaceae.
CGGCCGGGACGACCCGGCCGCAAGCAUGCACACGCGGGGACGGCCCUG